GGCAGGUAUAGUUGUAAUAAUACUAUCACAUCGAGGAGGGGUUUAAUAGGGCGCGGGUAAACGCCUAAGUGAAGAGGUGGGCGUGUUCAUCGCCAGUAUUUAAGAAGGAAUCUUUCAAUCACGUUAUCCACUUCGCAUAUUUCGUCUGUACUGACCUUAUAAAAACCAGGUAUGAUUGGGGGUUAUUUUGUUUAAACCUGCAGGGGAGGGAGACAGAUUACCCAGCUACUUGUGCUGAAAGUCUUUCUUUGUAACGUUUCCAUAUGUCACUGUACCCCUUGUUUUCCUGAUAUGAGUCUUAAAGAGAUCUUUUGGAGAUGUUUAUUCUCCAAACGAUGAACUGCAAAUUAAUUUGAUCAUAUUAAUCUUGAAUAGCUGAUCUGUGAGAAUUCGUCAAAGCAGCUGGAAUGGAUCAGGCAUCGUUUAGAUUUCACUGUUUAGUGGAUCAAAUGUAUCGUGCGAUCUGCAGUGUAUUUUAUCAAAUGUUCUGUUGGAAUAUGUUCCGAGCGUUCUAAUCUUUCUAUAAACUGACUUUUUAGUGUUCUGCGUCACUGACCUCCCUUUCUCUUUUAAAAGAGAGAGAAAUCCUCUGCAGCCUGUCUAGACACGUGUGCACUUGGUCACACCCUGCAGUUCUUGCCCUGGUUUGUCCACCCUUGGGCUCUAUUGUCUGCGCGAUUCGUCUGAUUGCUUUCUCUGGUGUUGUGCAACAAUCUGGUUCUAUGAGGUUUACUUAUGGGGUGUGUUUUGAACAAAAAAGUUGCUGAUUUUACUAAGCUCAGGCGACUAAAUUGUCUAAACGACCAGCUUUGCGUGUCCAUAGCGGAACUGUCGAUUUUGUUUGUUUGUAUUUUGUGUACGUGCUCUAGGCAUCACCCACGGGGAUAUUUCUACUGCUCUAAAUUCUGUUUUUCGCUUCUGCAGCCAAAAUGUCUGAUAAGCCAGACCUGUCAGAGGUAGAGAAGUUUGACCCGAAGAAACUUCGGAAAACUAACACAGAGGAGAAGAACACCCUACCCUCGAAGGAAAGUAAGUAGUAAAAAUAAAAAUAAAAAUUUCCUUGCUAUAAUUUUAAAGUAGGGAUCUGCAGACUAAAAUUACUAUGCAAGAAACCGUUCAUCUCAGAAUGGGUUUUAUGGAACAAGUUAGUGUGGAGAGAAUACACUGUUGGACCUAGAUGCUACCCAUCCAGACAUACAUAGAUUAGUUAAUUUGUUCACAUGUCUUGUUUUCUAACCCAUAUCAUGAAGAUAAAUUCAUCUUUCAAGUAAAAUUAGAUCUUAUCUGUCAGGUGGGAGAUAAAAACCUGUUUAGAUGGUUUAACUAGGGCUUGGCUAUUUAAAGGACCAGUCAGUGAGCCCCACUAACUGGGAAAGUGGUUAUUACAGCUGGCUUUCAUCUUCUGGUCAAAACUAAAAUAUCUUCCUAAAGGGACACUAGUCAUCAAUUACUAUAGCAUAAUGUAGUUGUUCUGGUGUCUGUAGUGUCCCUGCAGGCAUCUUAAUGUAAUCCCUGCCUUUGCAGUGGCAGUCAAGCUGCCACUAGUUGCUUCCUGGGGUCACUGCUGCACAUUGACAUUCAGCGUCUCAACACUCUGCAAGGAGACGAUGAACGUUAAUAGAUACAUUGAUUCACUGCAUCUGAGAUGCUGAUAGGUGUGGCUGGGGAAACUGUGCAUUUAUUCCCAUAGUGCUAAGCUGACCUUCACUUUAUUGCAAUGCCAUGGGGGGCAGGGGGGAGACUUGGUUGUAAUAAUGGACCGGCAUCAUACAAUCUCACACUCAUUCUAGGAACUGAAGUGUGACUUGUUCUAGAACAGCAUGUUUGUGAGAAUUAACACAUUCAAGCUAGUGUAGCUAAUCUAGACACUCUAGCAAGUCUUUAUGCAUGACCAGCUCACUUUAAGAGUCCAGGAACAUUUACAUUACAACUGGUAAAUGCUACUCUUAAUGUUACUGUCUCUUACAUUACUGCCUUAUUUUAUUUUGCUAUUCUUUAUCAACAGCUAUUGAGCAAGAAAAACAAGCAUGUAAGAAAUCAUGAAGAUGCUUCAUAUGGACACAUCAAGUUUCCAUGGUCUUAUGAUCUCUCUGUUUCACUGGAUGUAGGGCAAGCAUGGCCCAAACACCUUUGCCACUUAAUUUGCAGAAUAAACUGUAAAAAAAAAAAAAAAUUAUAAUUAAAGAUGUUUAUUUUUAUCCAGAAAA
Molecule: long non-coding RNA, 2207 nt
Filed under: Pelobates cultripes (western spadefoot toad)
Lineage: Eukaryota; Metazoa; Chordata; Amphibia; Anura; Pelobatidae
Source: RNAcentral